UAGGGAUUAGUAGGUUUUAUAAAACUUUAUCAUCUGCUGGACCAUUUUAGUUGUACAGAGAGGAAACACGAGUAGUAGUAGUGAAGAAAAAGAGGGAAGGAUCAUUUUAUGCCCAUUCAACAAUCUAUGCAAAAUACUCGAUCGAUCAACUUCAUAAUUUAAUUUCUCUUAUACAUAUAGUAUAGCAUUACCAUGCCUCAAGCUUGCAUCUCAAUGGCGAGCUCGAUCUUUGCAGUAGCUAGCAGUAGUAACUAACGGCACGCACAAAGCAUCGAUGAGCACCAUGCAUGGAUCAUCACAGCGAAGACGUGCUUAGCUUGCGUAACCAGUAUGUAUCGUCGGAGUAGCUAGCCGAUGAAUUAGUAGCUGUAGUUCUUGACGAACAUGCCCUCCUUGGCCUCGGCGGCCUCGCCGUCGGAGGUGUACUUGCCGAGCUGCGCCAGCGAGUUGGCCUUGGCGCGCAGCAGCAGCGCGUCCUGCGCCGCCUUGACGUUCUCCGGCACGCCGCCCCACGUCUUGAGGCAGGUGUUCUGCAGCGCCCGCGCGUAGGAGAAGGACACGUGCCACGGGUUGGGCCCCUGGUUCAUGGCGUUGAGGUUCUGCGUCGCCUCCACCUCCGACUGCCCGCCGGAGAGGAACAUGAUGCCGGGGACGGAGGGCGGGAUGCGGCGGUGGAGGAGCUUCAGGGUGUACUCGGCGACCUGCUCCGGCGUGGCCCGGUCCUUAGCCUCGGCGCCCGGCGUCACCAUGGAUGGCUUGAGCAGGAUGCCCUCGAACAUGACGUUGUUCUCCGCCAUGGCGUAGAAGGUCUCGGCCCACACCUUCUGCGCCACCUCGAAGGUCCGCUCGAUGCCGUGCUCGCCGUCCAGCAGGAUCUCCGGCUCUACGAUCGGCACAAGUCCGUUGUCCUGCUCGGUCGAUUCCAUUCCAUCGGUGUUAGCUUUUAUUAAUUAGCUGGAUGAACUAUCUCCAUGGCUAGAAGCAAGCAAGAAGGCGUACCUGCGAGAUGGCGGCGUAGCGGGCGAGCCCCCAUGCGGCCUCCUUGACGGCGAGCUCGGAUGGCCCGUUGGGGAUGCUGACGACGGUGCGCCACUUGGCGAAUCGGGCGCCCUGCUGGUAGUAGGCGGCCUCGCGGGCGGCGAGGCCGUCGAGGCCCUGGCACCAGGACUCGUCGUUGGAGCCGGCGAGCGGGACGAGGCCCUUGUCGACCUUGAUCCCGGGCACGAUGCCCUGCUCGGUGAGGAUGUCGACGAUCCGGCGGCCGUCGACGGCGGACUGGUAGAGCGUCUCCUCGAAAAGGAUGGCGCCGGAGAUGUAGUUGCCCAGCCCCGGCGCGGUGACCAGCAGCGUCCUGUACGCCUGCCGGUUGGCCUCCGUGUUCUCCAGCCCGAUGGAUGCCAGCCGCUUCCCGCACGUCGCGUUCGACUCGUCCAUGGCCAGGAUGCCGCGCCCAGGCGACGCGAUCGUUUUCUGCAACUCACCAUGUCAUCAUUAUUUCUUUCAGCAAGCAAGAUGGCGAUAGUGACAGUUUCGAUCGGCCACUAGUGAAGAAACGACGAACGCACCGCUGUCUUGACGAGCUCAUCGGCGUAGGCGCUGGCGCGGACGACCACGGAGACGGUGACCGGCCGGGGCGCGGUGAGCUGCCUGGCGGCGCCCCAUUCCGACUUCUUGGGAAGGAAGGAGGACUUGAGCAGGGUAGCAGAGGCCAUCUUCUUCUUCCUCGAUGCUCUUGCUGUCUUCUGAAGUUCAGCUCAGCUCAGGCUGGCAGUGGCCUCAGGUUCACACCAGUGAACAACGAAUGGAGUGUCUCCUUCCUUGGGGUGAGAGCUGCAGCCACAUCACAUAUUUAAGGUUUCUGCCAGGUAAACCAGUGGUGGCUGGACAAGGGAAGGAAGGAUAAAAAGACAUGCGUUGUGAGGCUGAGGUUGCUGCCCUCUGGAUUUCAGUGGAUGGAGUGGCUGCUUCUCACUGGUUCCCAUGGUCUCUUCAAAAGAGUAGGACCAUGCACGGUUAUCACCUCCUUUUUGUUUUGUCCUGAUCCGGAUUCCUGAUUCUAGGGAAGAUCUUUUCUGUGAUUUCCAUCCCAUUUUAACUGUGUGCUGUAAAAAAAUGACAAAAAGUUCAGAGAAAAAGGGACAGCUCAACUCUGGAAUCUUCGUGGCAGCUCAACCAUGGGAUUGCCUGAAUGUUGCUGGCCUCAAAAUUUCAAUAAGGAUCCCAGUUUAUUAUAUAUAUAUCUAUAAAAAAAAAGGAUCCCGGCUUUGGGUGAUGAGGCUGACAGGGAGGUUUCUGUGGGCGCGCCAAACCAGCAACUGUUGCCCGUAGAUGCGCGCCUGCGGUGGACAUCCAUCCAUCGAUUCCCACGGUUUGUCAUCGUGGUUUUCGCAGAACGCCGCGGAUUUCUUGGGGGCUUCUGGUGAUGCCAACGGCUGCAGCUACGAGUUGUUUGUUGCCAUGCGCGGUGUGGAGAGCUCUGCAGGCAAGCAAUGGCGAUCCAGGGGCGUCCGGUCAUGUCGCGCUCCUGCAUAUCAUCUGUCACAACACAUGAGACAUUGAUCCACGUAUACGGAAAUGGACGAACUGUUCUAAUCUGUCGUCUACGGAAAUGGACGAACUGUUCCAAUCUUUCGUAUACGGAAAUGGACGAACUGUUCCAACCUGUCGUAUACGGGAAUAGACGAACUGUACCCAUCUUUCAUUGGUUGUAUUCAAGAAAUUACUGGAUGGAGAUACACAUGAUUCUUUCCUGGACAACCAGAGCAAAUACCUGACAAAUGAUUGUAACCAUCCCUGAUAUUGUAAUGUGAAAAACAGAGAUUUUGAGAAAUCAUCAAUAAGAAAUAGGUUUGUGAUGAGAACAUGUUUACAAAUGGAUUGGUAAUUCAAAUGGACAGAUCUAGAUGCCUACCUUAUAGGACAACGGCAGUGUACACUGGAAACAAAAAUCAGUAAUGGUACAAACCUGAGAAUUAUCAACAACAUUCAUGACAAGACAACAGGACUCCUAAGUAGCAUCAUAGCACCUAAAUUUUGUUACACUUGUACCAUAGUAUGCUCUUUCCACUAACUACUAGUACCACUGCAGAAAUUUAACAGCUUUUUGGUGGGCAUUGGUAAUAGAUCAACUGCUCAAUUGGCAUAUGGGAGCAUCUGGAAAGCAGAAUCCUCUGAUACCAAUUAGCUCUCAGCGGGCUUCAAAAGUUCACCAAGAUCCACAUGCAAGCUGUUCCUCAUGGUCCGCCUUCCUGCUCCACCAGCAUUGCCCUUUCUCAUCAUCGCCACAAACUCGCUAUAAUCAAUUUGUCCAUCCUGAAAAAUGAUGCAUAAUAAUGAGACAAUAGGACAAGUAUGGAGAAGGAUUCAAAGAACAAGAGGGGUUAAGAAGACCAACAUUGUUUUGAUCCACAUCUUUGAUCAUAUCCUCAAGAUGAACAUCAGAAAGACCAAACUGUUGGCAUGCUUGCGAGAGCUCAUCAAUUGUUAUGAAGCCACUCCCAUCCUUGUCAAAGAAUGCAAACGCUGACACCAAGCUUUCCUCCCUCUCCAGUUUAUUCAUGUGCAAUGUAGCUGCCAAGAACUCUCCAUAGUCAAUGGUUCCACUGUUGUCAAUAUCAGCCUGAUAUACAAGACAAACCCAGAUUACAAUCUCAACGGUCCAUACAAUCAAAGGCUGCUACAGUGCAUCUAUUUUAUGUGGACAAUAGACUCGACGCAAUAGUAGUACUUACUGCAUCCAUUAAAGCCUGGAUUUCAGGUUCCAUCAGAUCCGACCCCACCCUUUUCAGACCGUUCUUCAGUUCAUCAUAAGUUAUCGUCCCACUGUUGUCAGUAUCGAUCAUUUUGAACAACUCCUUUAAGCCCCCGAUCUCCUCCUCAGAUAGGCUUUCAGCAAUCACCUGCACGAACAAAAAGAUUCAUCUGAAAAGAUCAAUUUCCAUGGUCAUUGCACAUACCAUCACCUCUUAUUAAACAUUUGCAACCUUAUGCCAUGCCUGUUAUGCAAGAAACCAGUUAAUCUAGAGUUCAAGCAAACAAUAUUGUAAAACCCCAUAGUGAAAAACCGAGCAUUAGUUGUUUUAGAAUUGUGUCAGACACUUAAGCCAAAACAAAGAACCUCUUCUCUUCCAACAAAAAGAAUCUGUUUUGAAACUCCUGGUCCCUUCAUUCCUUGCAUCAGAUGACCACUGACCAUACUGCCCAUGAAACCUCCUUUCCCAAAAUCAAAUGCUUCCUAAUGCCCUUAUCUGAGAACACUUGGUCAAAUCCGGUGUGCCAUUGCUGCUACCAAUGCAACACAGCCCCAGAUCUUAGCAUUUACUGCUUCCUGUCACUAAUAUUGAAAUUGUCCUCCCGAAUCAACAAACAAACAAGGACAACAAGAGGUGAACAUGACCAAGGCAUUGUUGAACUAAGAGGGUGAUGGUAGCGUAGUCACCAAGGUGGGUCAAUGGGUGGAACUAGACAUGAGAUGUUGGCAGUGCAAACCCCACUCAAUCAAGCAAUAGAAGUGCACAGUUGUAAUGUGUAAAACAAUGAGGUCCAGUCGCUAACCAGUUUGCAGCUCACCACCAUACAGAUGCUCACCACCUACAGUCACUCACCUUUCUGACAUCUUACCGUUGCUACCAUUAGUGGCCUCCUGCUGCUAGUGUCAAGCAGUCUUUAGCCAUGGGUUCAAUGGCUUUUGUGGUCGGUAGUCAUAGAAUACCAUGGCUGGCAUCCAGGUCUCGCACUAGUGCAGCUGAAGGGAUUGGAGACAACAGGGUUGGAUCUGGGAGGACUGUUCUUUUGGAAAGAAACAGGUUCUGUGAAUUGUAUGAAAGGUGACAUGUAGGCCAGCUUUUUUGUUUAUUGGGACUGUGUGAGUGUGUGACAUCGAUGGUUGGUGUGGCAGAACUGCCAUUAAAAAGAACAGGUGGCUAAAUGACUGGUUUCAAAAGCUUUGGUUUUUAAGCAGAUGUGUGUAAAUUGGGCUUUCUAAAAAUUAAAGGGGACAAAUACAGAUUUAAAGUGCACAAAAAAUCCAGUUAACAUGGAAAACCAGGAGAAAGAGAAAGGAAAAGAUUCAUAUGAAGUUAACUUGAGUGCACAACACAGUAGGCAGUAAGGCAGUGUCAUAAUAGAAAUGACGCACUGACCGUAACAUUGCGGUACUGAAUUUCGUUUGCAACAUAAUCACACAUCAAUGGGAUAAAAGUUCUUAUUUGAGAAAAAUGAAGUUCUUCUUACCCUCAAUGCCAUCUUCUUAAGCUUGUUCAUUGCAGAAAAGUUUUUCAGCCUUGACAAAACAGCAGAAUCAAUAGGCUUAUCAGGUGCGACAGCAUCAUCAACAAUCCAUGGAUGACCUGGCAUAGUCAAUGUCACCAUGUUUAAUAAGAACGAACUUCCAUGACCCAGGAGCACAAGCAUGCAUACAGAAUCUCAGACAGAGAGAGGGAGGGCAUGUAGGCAGAAAACUUACAUAGAACCUCAUGAGCAGUCAAUCUCUUCGUAGGAUCCCGGAUAAGCAUCUUACGGACUAGAUCUUUAGCACUAUCAGAGAUACUUGGCCAUGGUUCAGAUUCCAAGUCAAGUUUGCCUCGCAAAAUCUGCCUGAAGAUUCCAGCUUCACUUUCUGAAAGGAGGGGGAAACAGGAAGAUUUUACAUAUGGAAACAUGCUAAUAUCAGUAAACGACAAUCAAUCUCAACGUAGAAAUUCAAUGGUUGGAAUAACAAACAAUUUACCUGCCCAGAAUGGGGGUACACCACAUAGCAAAAUAUACAGAAUAACUCCAGCACUCCAGACAUCAGCUUCUGGGCCAUAGCAUUUCUGGAGCACCUCAGGGGCAACAUAAUAGGGGCUACCAACAACGUCAGCAAAUUUGUCACCUGGAGAUAUAGCAAGGAAUAUCUUUCAGUGUGUGUUCUGUUAAUCACUUCAAGCAAAACAGAAUAAACCACAGCAUUAACUGAAGACUUCAUUAAACACUACUUUAACCACAACACCACAUUUGUCACAAAAUCUGUUACAGUUCUACGAGAGAAGACAGUUCUUGCCAUCAACCUUGAAAGGCUUAUUGGCCUAUUGCUAUUGACAAGUAUUCUAGUUGCAACGCAGAUUUAUUUGUCCCCAGUACUAAUAUAUACUAGUUCUCAUGUUAGCAACAUUUUGACAGGGAUUCUUUAUAUUCUAACAAAAUGAGCCACAUAUGGAAAUGAAAUGUUAACAUGCUUGCUGGUGUAUCAAAACUAUCUAUGAAGAGCAGUACUCCCUACCAAACCCAAUGCUAGCAGUUAGCGCGCAUACCAUUGCCGCAUCAAGUGAACCAAAUAGCAACAUUGUACAGCACAAAUAUUAAACGUCAGCACAAACAAUUGCACAGAUACGCACCGGGCUUGUAGAACACCGAUAGCCCAAAAUCAGUGGCCUUGAGCGGGGCAUCCUCUGCAGUGCUCGCGAAGAGGAAGUUCUCCGGCUUGAGGUCCCGGUGCAUGACGCCGAGCGAGUGGCAUCCCUCCACCACCCCGACGAUCGUCCUGAUGAGCUGCGCGGCGGCGCGCUCGCUGUAGUGUCCCUUGGCGACGAUGCGGUCGAAGAGCUCGCCGCCGGCGCAGAGCUCCAUGACGAGAUGCACGAAGAGCGCGUCCUCGUAGGCGCCGCGGAUGCGGACGACGUUGGGGUGCUCGGAAAGGUGGUGCAUGAUCUGGAUCUCGCGCCACACGUCCUCGUAGUCCUCGCGGCACAGCAGUUUGCGCUUGGGGAUGGAUUUGCAGGCGUACUCGGCGCCGUCCGCCUUGCCCACGCACUGGUACGUGGUGCCGAACUGCCCCUGCCCCAGCUUCUUCCCGAUGCGGUAGUGGUCGCGCACGUUGUCCGUCUUGUGCGGCAGCACCGACGCCGGCCGCCCCGCCGACCCCGUCGUCACCGGCGGCGGCAGCCGGGCGUGCGCAUUGGCGCCGCCCGCCUUUCCCCUGCCCGGGCCUUGCGGGUCCGGCUGCAUUUCCUUUCGCCGGCGGUGAUUCCUCCCCGGAUCAAGAACCGUAACCGUACGGACGGCCUGCCCUUCCUGGAAAAAACCGCGGCGAGGCUCGACGAAUUCGCACCGUCGACCAAUCAGAAAUGGAAACCUUUUCCAAUUCCGGCUACUAUUCUGGGAGCUUUCCGGGGAAAUCUACACGGAUUGGAACCGAAUAACUCGAAGGAUUGGAUCUUGGCGUGGGGGGCUCUCGCCUUUGGGGAUUCCUGGGGAAAUGGCCGACGAAUUGGGCGCGACAGAGGAGCUUUAGCGGAGGUUUAUGCGGCCGCGCAGGCCGAAGAACAGAGGAGAAACGCCAACAGGAAGGCGAAGAUGAGGAGCAACGGGAUUGCUCUGUUCUUCUCUCCCCUCUGGGAUUGAUGGAUUGGUUCCUGCGGGGGAUUUAAGGAGAGGUCACAUGCCAAGGUUGGAUUUUUCCUCCAUGUGAGGGUGGAAAUCUACACGGCUAGGUUUGGUGAUUGCUCGGGCCUUGGAUUGGGUCUACAAAUGGGAACGGAUCGCUAGGGCAUGUGGGGGAGCAUGUCGGUGGUUAUCGCCUUCGCCUCCCUUCGCGAGGAGAGAGCGCAGAGGGGGGAGGGGGGAGGAGAGAGGAGGAAGACAACGUGGUCGGAAACUACCCCUUUCCAUUACUUUUCUAUUUCUUUUAUUUAUUUAUCUAAUAGUUUAUCACUACAUUGUUGGAGCUUCUGUUUAAUAUACUAAAAUUUUUGUAUCAUCUUUUUAUACAAAUAUACUGAAGUUAUCUGAAAACUUGAAGGUCUAUUUAGGGCACCCUUAUUAUCAAAUUAAUCGUGGCACGUCGUCAGGAUUCGAAAUUAUUUCCAUAAUUUGUUUUCAGUUGGUAAGAUGCUACGUUAGCACAAUUAUCCAAUCCUACGAGGUGCCAAUAAUGGGAAAACUCAUCUACAACUAGUUCAUCAAUUAUGAUAGGCGUCGAUCACCAAAUUCCCAGCUUAUCCAAUUUGAGGCUGUGGGACUAUUGCUAUGCAGGACUGUAGGAGUAUGGCAAGAAACUCUCCAACCUCUCAAUGAGGCCUCCGUUCAAUUAGACUGAGAGCUCAUAUCUCACCGGGCCCUAUCAUGAUUGUUGAAGGCAAUGGCAUGCUAGUGCUACAAUACAAUAUGCACAUUUCUUCUAAUGAGUUGCCACUCUUUGGCACAUGUCCUUGUACAUUUUCACCGAUCAGACAUUGCAAUGUUUUCUUUCGUGAAAGUGGCUAGGUGUUAAAAAUAGUAAUCUUGUUGGGCCUGUUGAUUAAUUAAAACUUAUUUGACAAUGAAAGCCAACCUGCGCAAAGACGAAAAUGAAGCCCAUUUGCCAUGGCACUGGUAAGUCCUGACCUAUCUCGAAAGAUCAUUUCCGUGGGGGGUACCGUACUAUAGUGGUAUGGAACUACCACUUUUGCAGACGCAUAUCCUAAUGAUUCCUUUUAAAAUUUUGCAGAGAUGCAUGA
This 8474-nucleotide long non-coding RNA is filed under the name Setaria italica (foxtail millet). Its description in RNAcentral is "long non-coding RNA (SITA_LNC005517)". Lineage: Eukaryota; Viridiplantae; Streptophyta; Magnoliopsida; Poales; Poaceae. The record is from RNAcentral.